GACGAACGCUGGCGGCGUGCUUAACACAUGCAAGUCGAACGGAAAGGCCCUGCUUUUGUGGGUGUUCGGCUGGGGAAUGGGGUGUUAACCCUUGGAUUACCCCUCCUUGUCCUUGGUAACAUCUCAAGACACCCGGGAAUAUACCGGAUAUGCACACCUGGCGACUGGUGGGGGUUGGGAAAUUUCGGCGGUUGGGGAUGGUAUGUCGGCUUAUCCGCUUGGUGGGGGGGGAGUGGCCUACCAAGGCCUUGCCUGGUUGUCGGCCUGGGAGGGUGACCCGCCACAUGGGGACUGAGAUACGGACCAGACUGCUACGGGAGGCAGCAGUGGGGAAUAUUGCACAAUGGGCGGAAGCGUGAUGCAGCAACGCCGCGAGCGUGAUGACGGCCUUCGGGUUGUAAACCGCUUUCGCCUGUGACGAAGCGUGAGUGACGGUAAUGGGUAAAGAAGCACCGGCUAACUACGUG
Molecule: ribosomal RNA, 467 nt
Filed under: uncultured bacterium
Lineage: Bacteria
Description: partial 16S ribosomal RNA
Rfam family: Bacterial small subunit ribosomal RNA
Source: RNAcentral